AUAUUGGGCAAUGGGCGCAAGCCUGACCCAGCAACGCCGCGUGAAGGAAGAAGGCCCUUGGGUUGUAAACUUCUUUUAUUCGGGACGAAACAAAUGACGGUACCGAAUGAAUAAGCCACGGCUAACUACGUGCCAGCAGCCGCGGUAAUACGUAGGUGGCAAGCGUUAUCAGGAUUUACUGGGUGGAAAGGGCGUGUAGGCGGGAGAGCAAGUCAGACGUGAAAUUCCAGGGCUCAACCCUGGAACUGCGUUUGAAACUGUUCUUCUUGAGUGAUGGAGAGGCAGGCGGAAUUCCGUGUGUAGCGGUGAAAUGCGUAGAUAUACGGAGGAACACCAGUGGCGAAGGCGGCCUGCUGGACGUUAACUGACGCUGAGGCGCGAAAGCGUGGGGAGCAAACAGG
RNAcentral lists this ribosomal RNA (401 nucleotides) under uncultured bacterium. RNAcentral's name for it is "bacterial SSU rRNA". It matches the Rfam family "Bacterial small subunit ribosomal RNA", at positions 361 to 776 of the family's 1533-position model. The record is from RNAcentral.